GACGAACGCUGGCGGCGUGCCUAAUACAUGCAAGUCGAACGCAUUUUCUUUCACCGUAGCUUGCUACACCGAAAGAAAAUGAGUGGCGAACGGGUGAGUAACACGUGGGUAACCUGCCCAUCAGCGGGGGAUAACACUUGGAAACAGGUGCUAAUACCGCAUAAUUCCAUUUACCGCAUGGUAGAUGGGUGAAAGGCGCUUUUGCGUCACUGAUGGAUGGACCCGCGGUGCAUUAGCUAGUUGGUGGGGUAACGGCCUACCAAGGCUGCGAUGCAUAGCCGACCUGAGAGGGUGAUCGGCCACACUGGGACUGAGACACGGCCCAGACUCCUACGGGAGGCAGCAGUAGGGAAUCUUCGGCAAUGGACGCAAGUCUGACCGAGCAACGCCGCGUGAGUGAAGUAGGUUUUCGGAUCGUAAAACUCUGUUGUUAGAGAAGAACAAGGAUGAGAGUGGAAAGUUCAUCCCUUGACGGUAUCUAACCAGAAAGCCACGGCUAACUACGUG
Molecule: ribosomal RNA, 507 nt
Filed under: uncultured bacterium
Lineage: Bacteria
Description: partial 16S ribosomal RNA
Rfam family: Bacterial small subunit ribosomal RNA
Source: RNAcentral